CCAGCACAGACCCUGCAGUCCAGGAACCUGCCCGCCUCUCUGUCUCCUUGACAACCAGACGCUCAGUGUGGGUGACACCUGGCUCCAAGGAGAAUGUAAACAAUGCACGUGCACUCCAGAGGGAGUUUUCUGCCAAGACAUCGACUGCAGAGUGGACGGUGCUUGGACCC
This is a non-coding RNA of Maylandia zebra (zebra mbuna), 170 nucleotides long. NCBI's taxonomy places the organism in Eukaryota, Metazoa, Chordata, Actinopteri, Cichliformes, Cichlidae. The record is from RefSeq and is a predicted model, not a curated record.